AUGACGAAGACGAUGCCGCGUGACUCUUCAGCGAGUGGAGCGUUGGUGCCGAGCGAUUCGGCGGCGAUGGCGGCUGCCGCGACGGCGACGACGGCGACGGCGGGGAAGCUCCCAUUCCCGCUGCUCACGAGGACGAACUACGCGGCGUGGGCGAUGAGGAUGAAGUACCUGUUGCGCGCCAACGGCGCGUGGGGUGCCGUUGAUCGCGAGGCCUCAUCGGAGGUCGACAAGGGCAAGGAGGAGAUGGCCAUGACGAUCAUCUCCCAGUCCAUCGACGACUCGACGCUGCUGCGAGUUGCGGAGAAGGAGACCGCAGCCGAUGUGUGGGCGGCGCUACGCUCCAUGCAUGUGGGCGUCGAGCGCGUCCGAGAGGCGAGGGUUCAAUCCUUGCGCUCGGAAUUUGAUGGCCUCAAGAUGGGUGAUGCGGAGUCCGUGGAUGAUUUCGCGGCGAGGUUCACGACGCUCGUGGGGCGCAUCCGUGAGCUUGGUGAUGCGAUGGAGGAGAAAUAUGUCGUGAAGAAGCUUCUCCGAGCCGUCUCCAACAAGUUCAUCCACGUUGCGUCAUCGAUUGCAUUGUUCGGCGACACCAACAAGAUGGCCAUGGAGGAGGCCAUUGGUUCACUCAAGGCGCAUGAGGAGCUCGUCAAGGGGCGGGAGACGACACAUAAAGAAGAGCAGCUCCUCAUGGCGAGAGGGCAUGACUCAUCGCGAGGACGCGGCCGCGGUGGCCGUGGUGGAGGGCGCAGAGACAAGAGCGAGGUACAAUGUUAUAACUGUGAUGACUUUGGACAUUUUGCUUGGGAGUGUCCGGAGAAGAAGAAGGAGAACGAGGAGAAGGCACUGCUGGCCGGCUACGGCAGCGACGGACCGGCUCUCCUAUGA
RNAcentral lists this ribosomal RNA (882 nucleotides) under Triticum aestivum (bread wheat). RNAcentral's name for it is "partial small subunit ribosomal RNA". The record is from RNAcentral. Lineage: Eukaryota; Viridiplantae; Streptophyta; Magnoliopsida; Poales; Poaceae.